CACCAGCCUAGCAAGUGGAAGGUCCUGAGUUCAAACCCAAGUACCUACAAAAAAAUCCAUUGAAACUAAUAAACUGUUUAUUCUCAAACUUGUUAGUUAAGACAGUAGAUACAAUAUUCUGAGACUGGCUUUCUCAUGCAGAAAGACUGUUUCUCCUUCUAGCCUGCAGAAGAUUGUUAUUCAUUCUUCUAUAUCUCACAUACCUCUGAGUUCAGAGGCACUGCUCACUUCACUUGUUGAAUGUUACUCAUUCACUUGCAUGCAAAAACCUUGGCUCUUUCAGAUUCCCUUUCUACUCCUAAUUAUUACUUCUUUAUCAAUUAUUUACCUCCUUCAUUUACUAUGGUACAUGAACUUCAUUCCUUUCAAACUUCUGUUGUUGGCCUGGAUGUUUUCAGUACAACUCAUUCAAUACCUGGCUACCUGGACUUGUGACAGUUCAUUGUUCAUUAAUUCAAUACUUUAGCCAUAUAUAUGCACAUGUUUAUUUACUUAUACAUUUAUUUAUAUACUUAUACAAUGAUUUUUUUGAACAUCUGCAGUGUAAUAUGCCAAGCCCUAAGCUAGUUAUGAGAUGCAGUUAUUAAAGGAAAGAAAAACAACUGAACAACCUAAACUAGACAUGGUCCUAAACAACUUGAGGCUUCUCUGAAGAAAUGAUGAGAAAUCUGAGACCUCAUUUGAGGAGUAAAUUGGAAGAAAGAAGGAGUCAAGAGAGUUUCAAGUAGAGGGAGCUGCGUGUGCAAAGGUCCAAUGAGAUGAGGGAGAAUGAUUCAUUUAAGAACUGA
Molecule: long non-coding RNA, 788 nt
Organism: Perognathus longimembris pacificus (Pacific pocket mouse)
Lineage: Eukaryota; Metazoa; Chordata; Mammalia; Rodentia; Heteromyidae
Exons: 3
Source: RefSeq, a predicted model, not a curated record